Myzus persicae (green peach aphid) is the source of this 409-nucleotide long non-coding RNA. RefSeq lists it as uncharacterized. The transcript has 2 exons. The record is from RefSeq and is a predicted model, not a curated record. NCBI's taxonomy places the organism in Eukaryota, Metazoa, Arthropoda, Insecta, Hemiptera, Aphididae.
UUAUUCAAAUAUCACAUGGAUAAAUUAGACCUGUAAUCCUGUAAUCAUUCAACUGUUGUGUUUUCGCCAGUUAUAUUAUAUAUGAGCUACGAGCAUACCGUAACGUGCCUAAUAAACUUGUCAAUAAUUACUAACAAAGAGGUCAGACCUGCAUCUAUUUAUGGGUAGCCUCUUGCAUUUUGUUGUCCGAGAAAAAAUUCAAACCUUUAAAUGAUUUUUGAACUUUGAAAUAGAAUAUUUGUGUCAUACCGACAUCAUUCAAUUUAUCCCUCUCUCGUAGAAAUUUUGGAACAAAUCUUCUUUACCAAAGUAACAUUUUUUUUUCGAGUCGACGAUAUUUUCCACACUAUAAUAAUUAUAACGGAUCUGCAAAAAUGAUAUGCCAAUCGCACUAAGUUUCGAAGUUAUA